UACGGGGGGGGCUAGCGUUGUCCGGAAUCAUUGGGCGUAAAGCGCGCGUAGGCGGCCCGGUAAGUCCGCUGUAAAAGUCCAGGGCUCAACCCUGGAACGCCGGUGGAUACUGUCGGGCUAGAGUCCGGAAGGGGCGAGUGGAAUUCUUGGUGUAGCGGUGAAAUGCGUAGAUAUCAAGAGGAACACCUGAGGCGAAGGCGGGUUGCUAGGCUGACACUGACGCUGAGGCGCGAAAGCUAGGGUAGCAAACGGG
RNAcentral lists this ribosomal RNA (253 nucleotides) under uncultured bacterium. RNAcentral describes it as "partial 16S ribosomal RNA". It matches the Rfam family "Bacterial small subunit ribosomal RNA", at positions 524 to 776 of the family's 1533-position model. The record is from RNAcentral.